GACGUAGGGCGCGAGCGUUGUCCGGAAUUAUUGGGCGUAAAGAGCUCGUAGGCGGUCUGUCGCGUCUGCUGUGAAAACUCAGGGCUUAACCCUGAGCUUGCAGUGGGUACGGGCAGACUAGAGUGCGGUAGGGGAGACUGGAAUUCCUGGUGUAGCGGUGAAAUGCGCAGAUAUCAGGAGGAACACCGGUGGCGAAGGCGGGUCUCUGGGCCGAUACUGACGCUGAGGCGCGAAAGCGUGGGGAGCAAACAGG
RNAcentral lists this ribosomal RNA (253 nucleotides) under uncultured bacterium. RNAcentral's name for it is "partial 16S ribosomal RNA". It matches the Rfam family "Bacterial small subunit ribosomal RNA", at positions 524 to 776 of the family's 1533-position model. The record is from RNAcentral.